Molecule: transfer RNA, 72 nt
Filed under: Bos taurus (domestic cattle)
Lineage: Eukaryota; Metazoa; Chordata; Mammalia; Artiodactyla; Bovidae
Also listed under: 3 other names
Rfam family: tRNA
About the family: Transfer RNA (tRNA) molecules are approximately 80 nucleotides in length. Their secondary structure includes four short double-helical elements and three loops (D, anti-codon, and T loops). Further hydrogen bonds mediate the characteristic L-shaped molecular structure. tRNAs have two regions of fundamental functional importance: the anti-codon, which is responsible for specific mRNA codon recognition, and the 3' end, to which the tRNAs corresponding amino acid is attached (by aminoacyl-tRNA synthetases). tRNAs cope with the degeneracy of the genetic code in two manners: having more than one tRNA (with a specific anti-codon) for a particular amino acid; and 'wobble' base-pairing, i.e. permitting non-standard base-pairing at the 3rd anti-codon position.
Source: Rfam by way of RNAcentral
UCCCUGUUUGCUCAGAGGGUAGAGCAUUUGCCUGCAAUGCAGGAGACCCAGGUUUGAUUCCUGGGUUGGGAA